AUACGGAGGGUGCGAGCGUUAAUCGGAAUUACUGGGCGUAAAGGGUGCGUAGGCGGCUUGAUAAGUCGGAUGUGAAAGCCCCGGGCUUAACCUGGGAAUUGCAUUCGAUACUGUCAGGCUAGAGUAUGUCAGAGGUUGGCGGAAUUCCUAGUGUAGCGGUGAAAUGCGUAGAUAUCAGGAGGAACACCAGUGGCGAAGGCGGCUAACUGGGGCAAUACUGACGCUGAGGCACGAAAGCGUGGGGAGCAAACAGGAUUAGAAACCCCAGUAGUCC
This 274-nucleotide ribosomal RNA is filed under the name uncultured bacterium. RNAcentral's name for it is "partial 16S ribosomal RNA". It matches the Rfam family "Bacterial small subunit ribosomal RNA", at positions 523 to 796 of the family's 1533-position model. The record is from RNAcentral.